ACAUGGGCCUCUUCAACAAGCAGCCCUGACUUGAUGGAGCAGCUGAAUUCCUCCUGGAAGAAGAUACCCAGAUGGAAGUGGCCCAGGUACAGAUGCCAUAGAGGGGAGUUUAAAGACUGCCCUGCUGAGAUAGCAUUGCUGUGCCCCACCAGCUGCUGCCUGAAGGAGAGGAAGCCUCUACUCACUUCUCUAGCUCGUCCCAGAAGAUAUGAGGAUCAGAGCUCCUCUGCCGGGUCUUCAGCAUGUGCUGCACCAGGCGGAUGGAGCGAUUGUAGGACUUGUCCAGCUCACUGAUGAUGAAUAGCAGGUCUGAGCUGAGGCCUGGGACAGCUACGUACUGCCACAGCAGAGCCGGGAGGUACAUGAUCACGGCCAGCGCCAGCAGGGAGUAAGGGAGGGCCUGCGGGCAGGUAAGAGGCAGCUGAGGGCCGGGCUCAGGGUACAUUUCCUGACUCAGAGGAGGGAGUACCACAGGCCGGAGCCUUAGGCUCCAUCAUCAUCAGACCAUCUGCACAUUGUGAGGCCUAGGAGAGAGGGCAUGCAUGUCUUACGCUCUCCAACUCCACCCUUCCCAUCUGGGGUCAGCCUUGGUAUUAGACUCUAGAAAGAGAGGGCAGCUUAAAGAGUAAAGAAGGGAGAGGGUGUGAGCACCACACAAGGCCUGCCUCCUGCUCCUGAGCCUGGGUGGUUUACUGGAGACACAGCCAGAGGGAAAGAGCCUCCUCUCACUUUCCACUUUUAUUCCUCUGAUUGCUCCAGUUUCUUUUCAUCAGUCUACCAGACCCAUCUAAUAUUCAAAUUCCAGCCAGGGACCCCAGAAAGGCUGACUUCCCUGGAGCCUCCAGAGGGGAGGAGGGCCCCAUUUCCUUUGCCUCACUUUCCCUGCUUCCUCUUCAGUCUCUCCUCACCUCUGCUCCUUGGGUGAGAAACCUAGGCCUUCAGGCACUUCUUGUUGCUCUUUGGGGCUGUUUUUGGUCAGUCUGUCUUUAGUUGACAUUGACAUAUGUGUGAGCAUUGAGUCCUCACACCAUGGGCUCCUUGAGACAAUAGCCUUUGCUGCCUGUUUGCUUAUCAUAGUCAUUAUACUUCACAGGGUCGGGCCCUCUAUUUUGCCUGCAGCCAAAGCUCUAUUUGCAAAGGGUGUUUGUUUAUUUUAAAAUUAGGUACUUAUUAUUAUUAUUGCCUCCAGGGUUAUCACUGGGGCUCUGUGCCUGCACUACAAACCUACUGCUCCUGGAGGCUACUUUUUUCCUUGUUGUUGAUCUUGUUGUUUAUCAUUGCUGUUAUUAUUAUUGUUGUUAUUGUUGUCAGAUAGGACAGAGAGAAAUCGAGGGAGACGGGGAAGACAGAGGGGGAGAGAAAGAUAGACACCUGCAGACCUGCUUCACUGCUUGCGACCCUCCUGCUGGUGGGGAGCCAGGGUCUCGAACCCGGAUCCUUAUGCGGGUUCUUGUGCUUCACGCCAUGUGAGCUUAAACUGCUGUGCCACCACCCAGCGCCUGCCACCAGGGUUCUUGCUGGGAAUUGAUGCUUGCAUGAAGAAUCCACUGCUCCCAGCAGCUUUUUAUUUAAAUUAAUUAAUUAAUUAAUUAAUUUAUUGCCUCCAGGGUUAUUACUGAGGCUCAGUGCCUGCACCAUGAAUCCAUUGCUCCUGGAGGCCAUUUUUCCCCCUUUGUUGCCCUUGUUGUUGUAGCCUUGUUGCAGUUAUUAUUGUUGUUGAUGUCAUUUGUUGUUGGAUAGGACAGAGAGAAAUGGAGAGAGGAGGGGAAGACAGAGAGGGGAGAGAGAAAAAUAGACACCUGCAGACCUGCUUCACCACCCGUGAAACAACCCCCCUAUAGGUGGGGAGCCAGGGGGCUGGAACUGGGAUCUUCACGCGGGUCCCCGCGCUUCUCGCCACGUGUGCUUAACCAGCUGCGCUGCCGCCCAACCCCCAGCUUUUAAUUUUUGUAUUAUUUUUCUUUUGCUUUCGGUAGAGGUUGAGACAGAUAGAUAAAAAGGAGGAGAGACAGGGAAGGAGAAAAUACCUACAGCACUGCUGCAGGUCUGUGAAGCUCCCCUCCCCCCACAUACAUGUGCAAACAGGGACUUGAACCCAGGUCCUCGCACAGGGUAACAUUUGCACUCUACUGGAGGUACCAUCACCAGGUCCCUACUUAUUUUCUAAUAUGUGGUUUCAGGCGUCAAACAUACAAGACAUGCUCACUACUGAGCUACAUCCAUAACCCUUUAAAAGCUGCUUAAAACUGUGCUAUUGGGCUCAUUAUUACAUCUUGCGCCCUGCACAGAUUAAGAACCAAAUGAUUCUUCUUGAGAAUUCUGACCAGUCUUAGAGGAAGGGUUAUAGAUACCGACAGUUGAGGGCUUCCAGAGGACACAGGAAGGUGGCACAGCGGUGGAACACAACACUUGCAAGUGCCAGACCCUGGUUCAAUCCCUGGCUUGCAUGUGCAAGCAUGAUGUUCUGGUCCUCCGUUUCUUGUUAACAGCUAAACACGGCUUUAACAUAAUGAUCUACAGGGAUUGCCUUAAAUGCAAGGCUGCAGGGAGUAAGGCAACCCCCAACCACAGCUCUGAUCAAAUAAAAGGGAGCCGGCAAGCAUGACCUGCUGUCUAAGGAAUGCAGGGAACAUGAAGCCCGUGACCAAGACACAGAGUGGAGUGGGUGGCCAGGAGGUAGGAGAGCAUUCAGCUAUGCAGCUGUGUGCCACUUGAACCUGUGGCCUGAGCCCCAGCCUCCCCUUUACCUUGUGAGGCCAGAGGGAUCUUGUCUUGUACUGGCCAGACUCCUCCAGCUCAUGGUGAACCAGUGAGUCCCAGCAGGAACUAUCCACAUAGGCUGCCUGCCGGACACUGAAGUUCCCAGGAGAGAAGCAGCUGAUGGGAGACCCUGGAAUAGAACACAGCCGUGAGGCAGCCCACACCUCCUGGGGGGCUGGACUCCACACACAAGCAGAUCAGCGAUUCCCAGGGGCCACCCACACUACUAUGCCCUUUAUGGAUGUGCUGGAACUUUCUUCUACCCAGGUUCCAGUUUUCUGGGUCCCUGUCACCACAGCAUGGGGUGGCAUAUCACCUAUCCUUGCUUCAAGUUGUCUUUGAUAUCACCUGCUGGUCCUGUUUACUCCUAGACAGGUGGGCAGUUGGGUGCCCUGCUGCCUACUCUCCUGCCCUUGGUGCCAGAGGGCUUGCAGGAUCCUGCCCCAGAGAGCUGGUAGCUGUUGGUCUAACAUUUAGAGGAUUAAUUCCUGGUGCAGAGGAGAGAGUGUAAUGGUUAUGCAACUGACUUUUGUGAGGCUUGGAGGUUACAUGGACUUGGUAGGAAAGUCUCUGGCUAUAUUCAUUCUCUGGAAAAGAGGCAGAAAUGGGGAUCAGUACUCGCCAUCUUGUGUACAAAGAGGCAGUUGACCCACUUCCUUGAGUAACAAUCUUUGGAAAGACUGGCAGGAAGCCAGAAAAGAAAGCCAAACCCCCAGUUCUCUUUAAGAGGGAAAGAGACUUGCUCAGUUCACCCAGCUCUUUAGAACAUGAGGCAGAUGUGUUUGUGAACUUUAUGUUGGUGGUCUGGAAGGGUCUGUUGCCCCUCCCUCACUGUGUUCUCAUCAGGUCAGGAACCCUGGAGAUGGGAGCAGGGAACAGCACUAGGAAGAGACAUGUUUAAAGCGUGGCCUUUAGCAUUCCUGAGACAAUUAAGGAGACCCCUAUCUGUUCAUUCAUAUGAAAAUCAAAAAGCAAGUUUAAUUAUUGCAAUGGCAUGCAAGAAUACUGAAAUUAAAGCAAAAAUAUCUCCUGCUGUAAAGUUUCAGAGACUAAAGUAGUGGGUGGCUCUGCUCUGCCUGAGUCCCACACUCAGGUGUGCUGUGCCCUGUGCGGGAUGCCCAGGCUGGUGGGAGCUGUCUCACUUUGGAGCCCACACAGGCUGGGAUUUCAGUGGCACCUAACCUACGAUCUGGGUCUUAGAAGUCACUCACCAGAGGAGAACUCCUGGGCAAAGGCGAGGGACAUCAGCAUCAGGGGGAAGCCCACUGCCACAAACUUGGCCAUCCGGUCCAGGGGAAGCUCCAGGCGCAGUCCCUUGAGGCGAGGGCCCCUGCGGUCUGGCAGCAGGGCAUCUGAAAGCAUGUACUCAGCAGCUGUAUGUGCAAGUGACAUGAUGCUGCUGUUUUGGGGUGCAGAGGCAGCAGGCAGGUUCCAGGACAGUGGAGAGAGGAGAUGGCACCCUUGAGCAGCUGGCUUGGAGCUGAUGUAUGUGCAGCCCCAGCCCCCAUGUGUCUGUGCCAGGAGUAGGUCAGGUCUCUAAAUAACCAACCAGACCCCUGCCAGGCCUCCUGGUAAUUAGAGGGAGGCCAAGCUCGGUCCUCUGGCCCAGGGUCGGGUGUCAGCCUCAGCUGCCUUGCUGCUGCCUUGCUGCUGCCCCCAAGCAGAUGAGUCCUGUGGCUUUAUGCUGCCCUCUCAUUAAUAAAGUAUUUUUGGGGGGUGGUGGAGAGAAGGAGCGUGAUGGAGCCACCCCCACCCCUUGUAAUUGGUGUGGAAUUUGGGUGGAGAUUGCUGAACUGUGUGGAAGGCCCUCAUUUUGUGGCUUGGGGUGGGAAGGGAGCCCCCAAGUCUCAGCUAGGAUCACAACUGCUACAUAGCAUUCUUUGUCCCAGUCAUGACUUUUCCUCUGGGUUCAGGCUCUUUCCCAUAAACUGUUCUGUUUUUGGUGUUAAAUUCCCUCUCCUGCCUCUCUCUCUCUCUCUUUUCAAUUUCUCCCAGACUGCAUACUUAUAAUGUAGCCACAUGUUUAUAAUUUCCAUAUAUUUACCUUUUAUUUAUUUAUGUAAGCCAUAUUAGUUCUCUAGAUUGGCCAGGCUGGGUGGUAGGGUUCAAGAGUAGAAAGAACACAUCCUUUGAGAUCUAGAGGAAAGACCUUCCACUGGGGACCCACAGUGCUCACUGACUGUUUUACUGUAUGGCUUUUGACAAGUUGCUUUCAGCUUAGUGUCUCCACCUGUCAGAUGGGCUUGAGCUGUUCUCUGCAGGAUCAUGAAUGCUGAUGAAGAGGAUUUACUGUGGGGUAAGAAGACUUUCAAAGUGCCAGCUGAUCAGUGCUCUGGUGUCUCUCUCUUCCAUGCAUCUCAUUAAAAUAAAUAAAUGUUAGAAAAUGAUUUAUUGUAUUAGAAGGUGCAUUGUAGACUGUAAAAUAUAUGCA
Molecule: long non-coding RNA, 5191 nt
Organism: Erinaceus europaeus (western European hedgehog)
Lineage: Eukaryota; Metazoa; Chordata; Mammalia; Eulipotyphla; Erinaceidae
Exons: 2
Source: RefSeq, a predicted model, not a curated record